This 378-nucleotide ribosomal RNA is filed under the name uncultured bacterium. Its description in RNAcentral is "bacterial SSU rRNA". It matches the Rfam family "Bacterial small subunit ribosomal RNA", at positions 28 to 404 of the family's 1533-position model. The record is from RNAcentral.
GACGAACGCUGGCGGCGUGCUUAACACAUGCAAGUCGAGCGGUAAGGCCCUUUCGGGGUACGACGAGCGGCGAACGGGUGAGUAACACGUGGGUGACCUGCCCUCAGCUCUGGGAUAAGCCUGGGAAACUGGGUCUAAUACCGGAUAUGACUCCAUGACGCAUGUUGGUGGGGUGGAAAGCCUUGUGCGGCUGAGGAUGGGCCCGCGGCCUAUCAGCUUGUUGGUGGGGUGANGGCCUACCAAGGCGACGACGGGUAGCCGGCCUGAGAGGGCCGACCGGCCACACUGGGACUGAGACACGGCCCAGACUCCUACGGGAGGCAGCAGGUGGGGAAUCUUGCGCAAUGGGCGAAAGCCUGACGCAGCGACGCCGCGUGA